RNAcentral lists this ribosomal RNA (468 nucleotides) under uncultured bacterium. RNAcentral's name for it is "partial 16S ribosomal RNA". It matches the Rfam family "Bacterial small subunit ribosomal RNA", at positions 28 to 507 of the family's 1533-position model. The record is from RNAcentral.
GACGAACGCUGGCGGCGUGCUUAACACAUGCAAGUCGAACGGAAAGGCCCUGCUUUUGUGGGGUGCUCGAGUGGCGAACGGGUGAGUAACACGUGAGUAACCUGCCCUUGACUUUGGGAUAACUUCAGGAAACUGGGGCUAAUACCGGAUAGGAGCUCCUGCUGCAUGGUGGGGGUUGGAAAGUUUCGGCGGUUGGGGAUGGACUCGCGGCUUAUCAGCUUGUUGGUGGGGUAGUGGCUUACCAAGGCUUUGACGGGUAGCCGGCCUGAGAGGGUGACCGGCCGCAUUGGGACAGAGAUACGGCCCAGACUCCUCCGGGAGGCAGCAGUGGGGAAUAUUGCAAAAUGGGCGGAAGCCUGAUGCAGCAACGCCGCGUGCGGGAUGACGGCCUUCGGGUUGUAACCCGCUUUCGCCUGUGACGAAGCGUGAGUGACGGUAAUGGGUAAAGAAGCACCGGCUAACUACGUG